Molecule: small RNA, 380 nt
Filed under: Pan troglodytes (chimpanzee)
Lineage: Eukaryota; Metazoa; Chordata; Mammalia; Primates; Hominidae
Description: processed transcript
Source: RNAcentral
AGCAAAGCCGUCGAGAUGACCUGGAGAGCCUGGGCUACGUGCUCAUGUACUUCAACCUGGGCUCCCUGCCCUGGCAGGGGCUCAAAGCAGCCACCAAGCGCCAGAAGUAUGAACGGAUCAGCGAGAAGAAGAUGUCAACGCCCAUCGAGGUCCUCUGCAAAGGCUAUCCCUCCGAAUUCUCAACAUACCUCAACUUCUGCCGCUCCCUGCGGUUUGACGACAAGCCCGACUACUCUUACCUACGUCAGCUCUUCCGCAACCUCUUCCACCGGCAGGGCUUCUCCUAUGACUACGUCUUUGACUGGAACAUGCUGAAAUUCGCCAGGAGCACCUCUCCACCCACUGCUGCUGGUCUGACCGCCUUCCUGGAGUCCCUCUUG